CAGGAAGUGUCAACAACAUCAUAUUCAUGGGCAGGAAGUGUCAACAACAUCAUAUUCAUGGGCAGGAAGUGUCAACAACAUCAUAUUCAUAGGCAGGAAGUGUCAACAACAUCAUAUUCAUGGGCAGGAAGUGUCAACAACAUCAUAUUCAUGCAUAAAAAAACAAAUAAUGAAAGAAAAGCUUUGCAAACUUGAAUUUUGUAACGAUAGUGUGGAAAAAUGAUUGUUAACGAUCAAUAAUGACAAACCUCCUGGCAUUGACAACUUAGAUGGAAAGCUACUGAGGGUGGUAGCUGACUCUAUAGUCACUCCAAUCUGUCAUAUCUUUAAUCUGAGUCUAGAGGAAAGUGUUUGUCCUCAGGUCUGGAGGGAAGCCAAAGUCAUUCUGCUACCCAAGAGUGGUAAAGAGGCUUUUACUGGUUCUAACAGCAGACCAAUCAGCUUGCUGCCAGCUCUGAACAUACUGUUGGAAAAAAUGGUGUUUGACCAAAUACAAUGCUAUUCUCUGUGAACAAAUUAACAACAGACUUUCGGCAUGCUUAUAGAGAAGGGUACUCAACAUGUACUGCACUGACACAAAUGACUGAUGAUUGGUUGAAAUAAAUUGAAAAUAAGAAGAUUAUGAGAGCUGCACUAUAGAUUUCAGUGCUACCUUUGGUAUUAUUGACCGUAACCUGUUCGUGCCGUGGGGGAGAUCUUCGUGGGCUAUACUCGGCCUUGUCUCGGGAUAGGCAAAGUGGGUCUCCUGUCUUAUCCGGUUUCCUGUGUGAAUUUAAGUACUAGGUUUCUUUCUAGGUUCCUGCCUUUCUAGGGAGGUUUUCCUAGCCAUCAUGCUUCUACACCUGCAUUUUAGGCUGGGUUUCUGUACAGCACUUUGUGAUAUCAGCUGAUGUAAAAGAGCUUUAUACCGUUCUACCGUUCAAAAGUUUGGGGUCACUUAGAAAUGUCCUUGUUUUUGAAAUAAAAGCACAUUUUUUGUCCAUUACAAUCAUGUCAAAUUGAUCAGAAAUACAGUGUAGACAUUGUUAAUGUUGUAAAUGACUAUUGUAGCUGGAAACGGCAGAUUUUUUAUGGAAUAUCUACAUAGGCGUACAGAGGUCCAUUAUCAGCAACCUUCAAUCCUGUGUUCCAAUGGCACGUUGUGUUAGCUAAUCCAAGUUGAUCAUUUUAAAAGGCUAAUUGAUCAUUAGAAAACCCUUUUACAAUUAUGUUAGCACAGCUGAAAACUGUUGUUCUGAUUAAAGAAGCAAUAAAACUGGCCUUCUUUAGACUAGUUGAGUAUCUGGAGCAACAACAUUUAUGGGUUUGAUUACAGGCUCAAAACAUCCAGAAAAAAAAACCUUUCUUCUGAAACUCAUCAGUCUAUUCUUGUUCUGAGAAAGGAAGUCUAUUCCAUGCGAGAAAUUGUCAAGAAACUGAAGAUCUCGUACAAAGCUGUGUACUACUCCCUUCACAGAACAGAGCAAACUGGCCCUAACCAGAAUAGAAAGAGGAGUGGGAGGCCCCGGUGCACAACUGAGCAAAAGGACAAGUACAUUAUAGUGUCUAGUUUGAGAAACAGACACCUCACAAGUCCUCAACUGGCAGCUUCAUUAAAUAGUACCCGCAAAACACCAGUCUCAACGUCAAUGGGAUGCUGGCCUUCUAGGCAGAGAUCCUCUGUCCAGUGUCUGUGUUCUUUUGCCCAUCUUAAUCUUUUAUUUUUAUUGGCCAGUCUGAGAUAUGGCUUUUUCUUUGCAACUCUGCCUAGAAGGCCAGCAUCCCGGAGUCGCCUCUUCACUGUUGACGUUGAGACUGGUGUUUUGUGGGUACAAUUUUUUUUUUUAUAAAGGUGCCUGUUGAAUUUUUUUCUGCCUAAACGAGUCUGACCACUAAUCAACGACCACUAUGAUGACACACCAAAUGUGUUUGAUGGAUCGCAGGAAAAGAGCAGAAAUAGGCUUUUGUAAGCUACAGUCCAAGCUAUGUCUUCCAAUGGUGCGACUGCAGUCGGCAUCAAAACAUCAUCCAAUUUCAAUGACUGCUUAGAUGUAAGGACGACAGCAGCGGUGUAGCUUACGGAUACGGAUACUAUCCUACAGUUUUUUGUGUCACCUCUAUUAGACUCCCAUUAGAAUCCUAUUGGACUCCGAUCAGAAUCCUAUCGGAAUCCCAUUAGAAUCCUAUUGGACUCCUAUCAGAAUCCCAUUAGAAUCCUAUUGGACUCCUUCCUAUCAGAAUCCUAUUAUAAUCCUAUUGGACUCCUUCCUAUCAGAAUCCUAUUAUAAUCCUAUUGGACUCCUAUUAGAAUCCUAUUGGACUCCUAUCAGAAUCCUAGUAGAAUCCUAUUGGACUCCGAUCAAAAUCCUAUUAGAAUCCUAUUGGACUCCUAUUAGCAUCCUAUUGGACUCCUAUUAGAAUCCUAUUAGACUCAUAUUAGAAUCCUAUUAGAAUCCUAUUGGACUCCUGUCAGAAUCCCAUUAGAAUCCUAUUGGACUGCUAUUGGACUCCUAUUAGGUCAGGUGUAUAUUAGUACUGGUCUCAGGUCAUUAAUACAAAUAAUACAAUUAAUAAGUUCGGGAGUAAAAAUGUGCCUAACAAGUCACAUAAUAAGUUGCAUGGACUCAAUAAUAGUGUUUAACUCCAUCUAUCUCUCCUGUUAUAGUAAAUCAGGCAUCUAUCUCUCCUGUUAUAGUAAAUCAGGCAUCUAUCUCUCCUGUUAUAGCAAAUCAGGCAUCUAUCUCUCCUGUUAUAGUAAAUCAGGCAUCCAGCACCCCUGUUAUAGUAAAUCAGGCAUCUAUCUCUCCUGUUAUAAUAAAUCAGGCAUCCAGCACCCCUGUUAUAGUAAAUCAGGCAUCUAUCUCUCCUGUUAUAGUAAAUCAGGCAUCUAUCUCUCCUGUUAUAAUAAAUCAGGCAUCCAGCACCCCUGUUAUAGUAAAUCAGGCAUCUAUCUCUCCUGUUAUAGUAAAUCAGGCAUCUAUCUCUCCUGGUAUAGUAAAUCAGGCAUCUAUCUCUCCUGUUGUAGUAAAUCGGGCAUCCAGCACCCCUGUUACAGUAAAUAAGGCAUCCACACCCCUGUUAUAGUAAAUAAGGCAUCCACACCCCUGUUAUAGUAAAUAAGGCAUCCACACCCCUGUUAUAGUAAAUAAGGCAUCCACACCCCUGUUAUAGUAAAUAAGGCAUCCACACCCCUGUUAUAGUAAAUAAGGCAUCCACACCCCUGUUAUAGUAAAUAAGGCAUCCACACUCCUGUUAUAGUAAAUAAGGCAUCCACACCCCUGUUAUAGUAAAUAAGGCAUCCACACCCCUGUUAUAGUAAAUCUGCCUUUAGAAGAUCAGUCCUGUUGAAAAUAGGAUUAAGAGGAAGGCAGGCAGGAAGGCACACCAGGCCAGCCAACAUGCCAGGCCAGCCAACAUGCCAGGCCAGCCAACAUGCCAGGCCAGCCGACACAGACAAACGAUUUUGACAGCCAAUGUCUAUGAGCUCUUGGCAUGGAGUAAUACUAGGAAUUAGGCUUACUACCAGGGGAUUCUUCGCUCUCACAGCAUGGGAUAAUUAUUAAAAAUAUUCUUUAUUUAACUCGGCUAGUCAGUUAAGAACAAAUUCUUAUUCACAAUGACGUCCCAACCGGGGAACAGUGGGUUAACUGCCUUGUUCAGGGGAACAGUGGGUUAACUGCCUUGUUCAGGGGAACAGUGGGUUAACUGCCUUGUUCAGGGGAACAGUGGGUUAACUGCCUUGUUCAGGGGAACAGUGGGUUAACUGCCUUGUUCAGGGGAACAGUGGGUUAACUGCCUUGUUUAGGGGAACAGUGGGUUAACUGCCUUGUUCAGGGGAACAGUGGGUUAACUGCCUUGUUUAGGG
Molecule: long non-coding RNA, 3844 nt
Organism: Oncorhynchus tshawytscha (Chinook salmon)
Lineage: Eukaryota; Metazoa; Chordata; Actinopteri; Salmoniformes; Salmonidae
Source: Ensembl